Non-coding RNA from Cinara cedri, 296 nucleotides. NCBI's taxonomy places the organism in Eukaryota, Metazoa, Arthropoda, Insecta, Hemiptera, Aphididae. The record is from the annotation of a GenBank genome assembly.
AGUAGACGACAUAAUUACCCGCCCAUCUUUCGAAUAUCUGAUUGUACGUCUGAAAAUAUAAUUCUUGAAAAAUUAGCCAUUGACGAUAACGGGUCGAUGAUUCUAGUCGACGGUUUAGAGGGACUAACGUUGGCUGUGGAGUUCACUCCGCUUUUUUCGUUGGUAUGCUUUGAACUAUCUAAUUUACCUCUAAUUCAAGCGGAAUAAAUGCUUCUGACAGAGAGGUGGAUGUGUUAAAUUAAGUUUUACUUGGGUUUUAUUUGUUCUUUUCUUUGUAGCGGGUCGUUUCGUUAUAU